Molecule: ribosomal RNA, 301 nt
Filed under: uncultured bacterium
Lineage: Bacteria
Description: partial 16S ribosomal RNA
Rfam family: Bacterial small subunit ribosomal RNA
Source: RNAcentral
CAGCCGCCGCGGUAAUACAGAGGGUGCGAGCGUUAAUCGGAUUUACUGGGCGUAAAGCGUGCGUAGGCGGCUUCUUAAGUCGGAUGUAAAAUCCCUGAGCUUAACUUAGGAAUUGCAUUCGAUACUGGGAAGCUAGAGUAUGGGAGAGGAUGGUAGAAUUCCAGGUGUAGCGGUGAAAUGCGUAGAGAUCUGGAGGAAUACCGAUGGCGAAGGCAGCCAUCUGGCCUAAUACUGACGCUGAGGUACGAAAGCAUGGGGAGCAAACAGGAUUAGAUACCCCCGUAGUCCCUGUCUCUUAUAA